Long non-coding RNA from Aethina tumida (small hive beetle), 3161 nucleotides. RefSeq lists it as uncharacterized. The record is from RefSeq and is a predicted model, not a curated record. The transcript has 3 exons. Lineage: Eukaryota; Metazoa; Arthropoda; Insecta; Coleoptera; Nitidulidae.
GACAUAUACUUUCGACUUAGACGUGCCAGGUAGUUUCCAGGUUAUCCAUAGUUCGUCUAUAUACAGAAGAUAAAAGUGUAGCACCCAAAGUACAAAUCAAGAAAGUUUUCCCACCCGCCGAAUUAUUAUUUUGAGUAAUCGUCAUUGGUUUUGGCAAAGACUAUCGCAAAUGAUUGAUAUCGAGCUUCAAGAAACAUGUCGAGGAGACUCAGGAACUGGUAAGUUCUCUACUCAUUUUAGAUCCGUUGAAUGUAUGGUCUGGCGCUUUUUUAGUUGGAACAAAUGGAGCUAGGAAUUAGGGAGACUAAACCAUUCAAAAAACAGGACUGCAGAAGGAAAUUUAACUGCUAUUGAGCCUAACUCACUUAAUGUACUGUCUGUUACAUUAAAGUGAAGCAGAUGACAGACGGUGAGAUUCGUGUAGCUGCCGAUUAAAAAUAAAGACUAUUGGAUAAUUCCGAAUGAAGCUAUCGUACAGGGAAAAAACUUAAGGAGGGUCACCGGAUUGUGCUGGUAACCCACGAGGGAGGUAAUCAAGAACUUAUCAAACACUAAACAGGGGGCUAAAGAGAAACUCUCCAACAUUCGAGGGUUAACAAAUGGAGCUAGAAAUUAGGAAGAUUGAGCCAUUGACAAAACGGUGCUUCCGAAGGGAAAUUAACUGCUAUCGAGUCUAAGUCAAAUGUCUAUCCUAUUAGUUACAUUAAGAUGAAACAGAAAUUAAACUACGACAGACCAAAAAAAAUCAGUGUCAUUCCCGUAGCUGUCGAUCAAAAGACUGUUGUAUAAAUUCUAACAGAAUGAUGGUACUGGGAAAAAAGUUGAGAACGGCUGCUUAAACAUAUUGGGGAAGUUUUAGAGCUAGGGUAAAUUUUUCUGUAUACAUUUCCUCUAUAUUAAAUUUUUAAAUUCUUAUUUGUUAGUUACGAGACACCAAUAAGGAUUUAAAUUUGUCGUCAGGACUAAUGAACAUCCAUCCAGCAAAUAGCGUUACUGUUCGCAAUUGGUUUCGAUUUUUUAACCACUAUAUUUUUAGGAUUGUAUUAACAGUUGGGCUGAAAAGUUCGUAGGCUAGCAUAGAAAAUAUCUUUUUUUUUUGAUAGAAUUUAAUUUUAUCAUUCAAUAUAGUCGCCUUCGAGGGCGUCUUUUCAGAUUGAUACACUUAUUCCAGCUAUUUUCAACUUUUGAUCCUAUCCGAAAAUUAAAAAAUUAAUUUUCCGGGAGGUCUGAAAAUACUCUGAAUUUUUAAUUAAUCAACCACCUUUUGAGAUUUGGGAAGAGAUAAUAGUCAGAUGGAGCUAAAUCUGACGAAUAAGGUGGAUGUCGGCGCAUUGUCUUGCAAAAACAAAAUUUUUUUUCGCUUCAUGUGAGCCGUUUCGCUGCGAUUUCGGACUUUAAUCGCUCCAAUAAUGCACAUUAAUAAUCGCUGUUGAUGGUUUUUCCUUUUUCGAGGUAGUCCAUGAAGAGUAUGCCAUGACAAUCCCAUCGGAGGGCCUGCCGCUACGGACUUCAUCGGCAGUGGAGUUUUCGGCCACCAUGAAACUCUCGAAACCAAUAUUUCACAGUGUAAUCUGAAGGAGCAUUAGCCCCAUAAUAUUUAUCCACCUUUUCUUUUGUUUCCUUCGCCGUUUUGCCUCUCAAAAAUAAUAUUUUAUGGGAACGAAAAUCAUGAUGCCAAACACGUAACCGAAAACCAGCUGUCAAAACAAAACUAUGUCUAACUUGUCGGCCUAAAUAUGAAUGAGCUAUAAGGCAUCAUUAUCUUUUUCGCGAUAGCAACGCAUUUUGGUAGUCAAGGUGGUUACUUUUCAGCCCACCUGUUAUAUAUGUUAUAUGAUAUUUUAUCAUUGAUAGUCGUUUUUUGUAAAUAUUUUUCAAGACUGGUCAUUUAAUUACUUCAAAACCUUUACGUUUACGUUGUUAUUUCGUUUUAGCAUAUUUAUUAUGGUUACAAUGUUUUAUUCCAAUAAAAAAUAUAUCUGUUUCAAUUUUAAGACAUUUGUGGGGUACAGACCUAAAACAAUCAAAAUAUUUUAAGCAAAAUAAUUAAAAACUAUGUUAGAUAUAAUUAAAUUACUUGAGAGGUAAGUAAAUCGUAAGUUUACUCGUUUUAGAUCCAUCGAAGAUAUUGCCAGAUGCUUUUUUAGUUGGAACAAAUGGAGCUAGAAAUUGGGAAGAUCGAGCCAUUGAACAAACAAGAAAAGAUAGAAGAAAAAGAAGGAAGUUUAACUGCUAUUGAGUCUAACUCAAAUGUCUCACUGUUCGUUACAGAGAGAAAACUAUAAUAGACGAGAAACAAUCGGUGACAUGCAUGUAGCUCCCUAAUCAAGUACUUAAACAUAUAGGGGACUAAAGAGAAACCCUCCAAUGUUUCAAAGCUAGUUAAAAUUUUUCUGUAGACACUUCAUCUUUAUCAUAUUUUUAAAUUCUUAUUUUGUAGUUACAAAACACUAAUGAAGAUUUAAGUUGGUCGUCACGACUAAUGAAUACGAUGAUAUAUAUAGCAAAGCGUGGUACUGUUCGCGGCUAAACUCCAACAUUCGAGGGUAAAUUUUUCUGUAAACACUUCAUCCAUAUUAAAUUUUUAAUUCUAAUAUUUAUAGUUAUGAGACACCAAUAAUGAUUUAAAUCAGUCGUCACGUCACGUAAUGAAAACGAUGAUUAUAAGAUCCAUCCAGCAAAGAGUGCUACUGUUCGUUAUAGUUUUAGAAUUGUAUUAUAGAUUUAUAAAUUGAUUUCAAGUUUCAUGCAUUACACAGUAGCAAAUAAUAUUUUAUCAUUGAUUAUCGUUUUUUGUAAAUAUUUUUUCAAGAUUCGAUGAUUAUAAGCUCUAUCUAGCAAAGCGUGGUACUGUUCGCUGUUGGUGUCUGUAUUUUAAUCACCAUAGUUUUAUUAAUAGGAUUGUAUUAUAGAUUUAGAAAUUGAUUUCGAGUUUCAGGCAUUACACACGACGGCAAAUAAUACUUUUUAAUUGAUUGUCGUUUUUUGUAAAUAUUGUUUCAAGACUGGCCAUUUAGUAAAUUCAAAUUUAUUGUUAUUUUAAGAAGCUAUACCAAAAAUAUAACUACUGUUAUUACAAUUUGUUUUAGUUUUAAGAUAUUUGUGGGGACAAACCUACAACAAUCAAAAUAUUUUAAAUAAAAUAAUUAAAAACUAUGAUA